CGAGCUGGUUCUGGCUGGCACAAGACUAACACCCCACCCUUUACCCCACCAUGGUCAAUCUGCACCACCCAUCCCUCCUCGACGAUACCAGGCUCAGGAUCACUCUUCUCCUCAGGCCAGCUGUGUUCAACUUAGAGCGACACAGGCCUGAUGUGUGCUGGGUCCAGACUGCAAUAGCUCUAUUUUUAGGAACAACCAGAAAAAGUCAGGGCCCUAUGGAGUUAAUGCAGCUUCUUUAAUUCCUGUGGUGACAGGUAACACAGGUAAAAUUGUGAAAUUAAAGAAAAGCAAAAAGCUUUAUAGAGAUAAAAAUUUGACUCCUAUAACAUGUCAUCCAAAAAGUCCACCAGUGUCUCCAGUAAAGUCUUUAAAAUUAGCUCUUCUUAAUGUUAGAUCUCUUGUUAACAAGUCACUAAUAAUUAAUGAUUUUAUUUUGACACAUCACUUGGACUUUUUAUUUCUCAAUGAAACAUGGUUGAAUGAUGGUAUCAGUAAUACUAUUCUCAAUGAAAGUGCACCACAAGACUUUAUUUAUUUAAAUAAGUGUCGUACUUGCAGGAAAGGUGGUGGAGUUGCUGCCAUUUUUAAAUCAAUAUUUCAGUGCAAAGAAAUAACAUUUGGUGAUUUUAUCUCCUUUGAAUAUAUGUCAUUCUUACUGAAGGGUGAUUCAAGAGUUCUGUUUUUAGUCGUUUAUAGACCCCCAAAAUAUUCUGGAGAAUUCAUGGAUGAGUUUGCUGAACUGCUGUCAGUUGUAUGCACUGAAUACAACUUUUUAAUAAUAACAGGUGACUUAAAUAUUCAUGUAGACAAUAACAUGGACAAUACUGCCAAAGAACUGUAUGCUUUAAUGGAUACUUUUGGUCUUACACAACAUGUGACUGGUCCGACACACACUCAAGGUCACACUUUGGAUCUGGUUAUCUCUAAAGGUGUUGAUAUCUCUGCUGUUGAUGUAAGAGACUUAGCUCUAUCUGAUCAUUUCUGUGUCUUUUUUGACCUAGAGACUGUAACAUCUGUUCCCCCUAGUUAUGUGUGUUUAAAGAAAAGGUACAUAAAUGAGAACACAAGUGCACAGUUUAUGGAAGCCAUAGCAAUGACACCAACAUUGAGUGCUGAGACAGUUGAUGAUCUUCUGGAUGAGUAUAAUAGAAACGUCUGUAAUGUCAUAGAUGUGGUGGCUCCAAUCAAAACUAAGAGAAAACCAAACACACAGAAAACACCUUGGAGGAGGACUGAGAUAAUGCAGAAUUUGAAAUCUGACUGUAGAAGAGCUGAGCGUAAAUGGAGAUCAACAAAACUCCAAAUUCAUCUAGAACUGUACAAAAUAAGUCUGCGAAAAUUCAAUGAUGGCUUGUUCAAAGCAAGGCAGCAAUACUUUUCUGAAAUUAUUGCCAAAAAUGUCAACAACUCUCGCACGUUGUUUUCUGUAAUUGAAAAGCUCACAACCCCCCCAGAUCAGAUAGCCCCUGAAUUACUGUCAGCUGGAAAAUGCAAUGAAUUUGCUGUAUAUUUCAAUGAAAAAAUACAAUCAAUAAGGUCAAACAUCAGAACAAACCAGCAAAAUCACAAAAAGCUUGAACAGCUUCAACCACUGAGGGAUGAGUCAACUACAAUGUUAGAGUUUAUUACAGUGAACCCAAAAACAAUAGAGGAGACUGUUCAGCAGCUGAAUCCAUCAACGUGUUGCCUUGACACAAUACCCUCAAACUUCUUUAAAACUGUUGUAAAGUCAAUUGUCACUGAUUUGUGUCAGAUAAUUAACUGCUCAUUCCAAUCAGGCACCGUACCAAAAUCCCUGAAAGUAGCUGCUGUGAAACCGCUGUUAAAAAAGAGAACACUGGAUGCCUCUAUACUGGCUAACUAUAGACCAAUCAGCAACCUUCCAUUCAUGGCCAAGAUCAUUGAGAAGGUGGUCUUCAACCAACUGAGUCAAUUCUUAACAUUCAACAAAAUAUUUGAUAAAUUUCAGUCAGGUUUUCG
This 1980-nucleotide long non-coding RNA is filed under the name Gouania willdenowi (blunt-snouted clingfish). RNAcentral describes it as "lncRNA (ENSGWIG00000010498.1)". The record is from RNAcentral. Lineage: Eukaryota; Metazoa; Chordata; Actinopteri; Blenniiformes; Gobiesocidae.